RNAcentral lists this ribosomal RNA (296 nucleotides) under uncultured bacterium. Its description in RNAcentral is "partial 16S ribosomal RNA". It matches the Rfam family "Bacterial small subunit ribosomal RNA", at positions 20 to 344 of the family's 1533-position model. The record is from RNAcentral.
UGGCUCAGAACGAACGCUGGCGGCAUGCCUAACACAUGCAAGUCGAACGAACCCUUCGGGGUUAGUGGCGCACGGGUGCGUAACGCGUGGGAAUCUGCCCUUUGCUUCGGAAUAACAGUUAGAAAUGACUGCUAAUACCGGAUGAUGUCGUAAGACCAAAGAUUUAUCGGCAAGGGAUGAGCCCGCGUAGGAUUAGGUAGUUGGUGGGGUAAAGGCCUGGCAAACCGACGAUCCUUAGCUGGUCUGAGAGGAUGAUCAGCCACAUUUUCCCUGAGACACGGACCAGACUCCUACGG